Molecule: ribosomal RNA, 546 nt
Filed under: Rhodotorula mucilaginosa
Lineage: Eukaryota; Fungi; Basidiomycota; Microbotryomycetes; Sporidiobolales; Sporidiobolaceae
Description: partial large subunit ribosomal RNA
Rfam family: Eukaryotic large subunit ribosomal RNA
Source: RNAcentral
CAAAUCAGGUAGGACUACCCGCUGAACUUAAGCAUAUCAAUAAGCGGAGGAAAAGAAACUAACAAGGAUUCCCCUAGUAGCGGCGAGCGAAGCGGGAAGAGCUCAAAUUUAUAAUCUGGCACCUUCGGUGUCCGAGUUGUAAUCUCUAGAAAUGUUUUCCGCGUUGGACCGCACACAAGUCUGUUGGAAUACAGCGGCAUAGUGGUGAGACCCCCGUAUAUGGUGCGGACGCCCAGCGCUUUGUGAUACAUUUUCGAAGAGUCGAGUUGUUUGGGAAUGCAGCUCAAAUUGGGUGGUAAAUUCCAUCUAAAGCUAAAUAUUGGCGAGAGACCGAUAGCGAACAAGUACCGUGAGGGAAAGAUGAAAAGCACUUUGGAAAGAGAGUUAACAGUACGUGAAAUUGUUGGAAGGGAAACGCUUGAAGUCAGACUUGCUUGCCGAGCAAUCGGUUUGCAGGCCAGCAUCAGUUUUCCGGGAUGGAUAAUGGUAGAGAGAAGGUAGCAGUUUCGGCUGUGUUAUAGCUCUCUGCUGGAUACAUCUUGGGGG